This 450-nucleotide ribosomal RNA is filed under the name uncultured bacterium. RNAcentral describes it as "partial 16S ribosomal RNA". It matches the Rfam family "Bacterial small subunit ribosomal RNA", at positions 354 to 796 of the family's 1533-position model. The record is from RNAcentral.
GUGGGGAAUUUUGGACAAUGGGCGAAAGCCUGAUCCAGCCAUGCCGCGUGCAGGAUGAAGGCCUUCGGGUUGUAAACUGCUUUUGUACGGAACGAAAAGACUCCUUCUAAUAAAGGGGGUCCAUGACGGUACCGUAAGAAUAAGCACCGGCUAACUACGUGCCAGCAGCCGCGGUAAUACGUAGGGUGCAAGCGUUAAUCGGAAUUACUGGGCGUAAAGCGUGCGCAGGCGGUUAUAUAAGACAGAUGUGAAAUCCCCGGGCUCAACCUGGGAACUGCAUUUGUGACUGUAUAGCUAGAGUACGGUAGAGGGGGAGGGAAUUCCGCGUGUAGCAGUGAAAUGCGUAGAUAUGCGGAGGAACACCGAUGGCGAAGGCAAUCCCCUGGACCUGUACUGACGCUCAUGCACGAAAGCGUGGGGAGCAAACAGGAUUAGAUACCCUAGUAGUCC